AUUGCAGGCUGAAACUCGCCUACAUGAAGCUGGAGUUGCUAGUAAUCGCGAAUCAGCAUGUCGCGGUGAAUACGUUCCCGGGCCCUGUACACACCGCCCGUCACACCAUGAGAGUUGGCAAUACCCAACGUACGUGAUCUAACCCGCAAGGGAGGAAGCGUCCUAAGGUAGGGUCAGCGAUUGGGGUGAAGUCGUAACAAGGUAUC
RNAcentral lists this ribosomal RNA (206 nucleotides) under uncultured bacterium. Its description in RNAcentral is "partial 16S ribosomal RNA". It matches the Rfam family "Bacterial small subunit ribosomal RNA", at positions 1297 to 1500 of the family's 1533-position model. The record is from RNAcentral.